This 492-nucleotide ribosomal RNA is filed under the name uncultured bacterium. RNAcentral's name for it is "partial 16S ribosomal RNA". It matches the Rfam family "Bacterial small subunit ribosomal RNA", at positions 29 to 507 of the family's 1533-position model. The record is from RNAcentral.
AGUGAACGCUGGCGGUAUGCCUAACACAUGCAAGUCGAACGACAGCACAGUAAGAGCUUGCUCUUACGGGUGGCGAGUGGCGGACGGGUGAGGAAUACAUCGGAUUCCUCUUUUUCGUGGGGGAUAACGUAGGGAAACUUCUGCUAAUACCGCAUAUGUCCUACGGGUGUGAUCAGGGGUUCUUCGGGCUUUUCGUGUUUGUAAUAGCCGAGGUCGGAUUAGCUAGUUGGCUGGGUAAAGGCCUACCAAGGCAACGAUGCGAAGCGGAUCUGAGAGGGUGAUCAGCCACACUGGAACUGAGACACGGUCCAGACUCCUACGGGAGGCAGCAGUGGGGAAUAUUGGGCAAUGGGCGAAAGCCUGAUCCAGCAAUACCGCGUGAGUGAUGAAGGCCUUCGGGUUGUAAAGCCCUGUUGUUAGGAAAGAAAAAAAGCAGGUUUAUCCCCGGCUGUUCUGACGGUACCCAAAGAAUAAGCACCGGCUAACUUCGUG